This 89-nucleotide transfer RNA is filed under the name Thermotogota bacterium ADurb.Bin062. RNAcentral's name for it is "Thermotogae bacterium ADurb.Bin062 tRNA-Leu". It matches the Rfam family "tRNA". From Rfam's summary of the family: Transfer RNA (tRNA) molecules are approximately 80 nucleotides in length. Their secondary structure includes four short double-helical elements and three loops (D, anti-codon, and T loops). Further hydrogen bonds mediate the characteristic L-shaped molecular structure. tRNAs have two regions of fundamental functional importance: the anti-codon, which is responsible for specific mRNA codon recognition, and the 3' end, to which the tRNAs corresponding amino acid is attached (by aminoacyl-tRNA synthetases). tRNAs cope with the degeneracy of the genetic code in two manners: having more than one tRNA (with a specific anti-codon) for a particular amino acid; and 'wobble' base-pairing, i.e. permitting non-standard base-pairing at the 3rd anti-codon position. Lineage: Bacteria; Thermotogati; Thermotogota. RNAcentral also lists the same sequence under 2 other names. The record is from RNAcentral.
GCGAGAGUGGCGGAAUUGGCAGACGCGCUGGACUUAGAAUCCAGUGGGAAGAAACUCCUUUAUGGGUUCAAGUCCCAUCUCUCGCACCA